GAUGAAGAACGCAGCGAAAUGCGAUAAGUAAUGUGAAUUGCAGAAUUCAGUGAAUCAUCGAAUCUUUGAACGCACAUUGCGCCCGCCAGUAUUCUGGCGGGCAUGCCUGUUCGAGCGUCAUUUCAACCCUCAAGACCCCUUCGGGGGACUUGGUGUUGGGGACCGGCUGUUCCCGGCCUGCUUCUUGCAGCGCCUUUAUGCCGCCCCCGAAAUGAAUUGGCGGCCUCGUCGCGGCCUCCCCUGCGUAGUAGCACAACCUCGCAACGGGAACGUGACGGCGGCCACUGCCGUAAAACAACCCAAUUUUAUUAGAGUUGACCUCGAAUCAGGUAGGAAUACCCGCUGAACUUAAGCAUAUCAAUAAGCGAGGA
Molecule: unclassified non-coding RNA, 371 nt
Filed under: soil metagenome
Description: partial contains 5.8S ribosomal RNA, internal transcribed spacer 2, and large subunit ribosomal RNA
Rfam family: 5.8S ribosomal RNA (bases 1-120)
Source: RNAcentral